RNAcentral lists this ribosomal RNA (434 nucleotides) under uncultured bacterium. RNAcentral describes it as "partial 16S ribosomal RNA". It matches the Rfam family "Bacterial small subunit ribosomal RNA", at positions 29 to 507 of the family's 1533-position model. The record is from RNAcentral.
AGCGAACGCUGGCGGCAGGCCUAACACAUGCAAGUCGAACGAACCUUUCGGGGUUAGUGGCGGACGGGUGAGUAACACGUGGGAACGUGCCUUUAGGUUCGGAAUAACUCAGGGAAACUUGUGCUAAUACCGAAUGUGCCCUUCGGGGGAAAGAUUAAUCGCCUUUAGAGCGGCCCGCGUCUGAUUAGCUAGUUGGUUGAGGUAAUGGCUCACCAAGGCGACGAUCAGUAGCUGGUCUGAGAGGAUGAUCAGCCACAUUGGGACUGAGACACGGCCCAAACUCCUACGGGAGGCAGCAGUGGGGAAUCUUGCGCAAUGGGCGAAAGCCUGACGCAGCCAUGCCGCGUGAAUGAUGAAGGUCUUAGGAUUGUAAAAUUCUUCCACCGGGGACGAUAAUGACGGUACCCGGAGAAGAAGCCCCGGCUAACUUCGUG